This 211-nucleotide ribosomal RNA is filed under the name Trichophyton mentagrophytes. RNAcentral describes it as "partial 28S ribosomal RNA". It matches the Rfam family "Eukaryotic large subunit ribosomal RNA", at positions 1 to 206 of the family's 3401-position model. Lineage: Eukaryota; Fungi; Ascomycota; Eurotiomycetes; Onygenales; Arthrodermataceae. The record is from RNAcentral.
GGUUGACCUCGGAUCAGGUAGGAAUACCCGCUGAACUUAAGCAUAUCAAUAAGCGGAGGAAAAGAAACCAACAGGGAUUGCCCCAGUAACGGCGAGUGAAGCGGCAAGAGCUCAAAUUUGAAAUCUGGCCUCCCCUGGGGGCCCGAGUUGUAAUUUGCAGAGGAUGCUUCGGGUGCGGCCGCCGUCUAAGUUCCUUGGAACAGGACGUCAG